CCGAAACCUUCCCUUUUUUUCCCAGCACAUAUCAUUUUUAUGUCAAGUACGCAUUUUUAACGCAGCAUUUUUUUUAUUAUUAAUAUUAUUAUUAUCAUUAUUGUUUUUUUUUUUUUUUACAGUUUCACUUAAAAUCGCUGUUAGGCUAAAUGAAUGUUUUAUUCUGAAAUUCGGCCCGGAAGUCCGUUCGCCUGUGGCAAAGUGAAACAAGAGCAUAUCGGGGUCUUGGGAAAAAGGGCUGCUUUGCUAAGACGAUGCCAAGCGACAACAAGCCCAAGAAAAAGCACAACAUAUGUAAAGUAAUGCAUACAGAAAACAAGAAGGAUGACGCACACAGGACAAGAGAUGUUCACUUUCUGCCAAAACCCACUGAGAGUGAGUGUGAAGUGGGCAGCCAGUGUCCUGCAGAUUCUAGAGGAGAGCCGCUCUCAGAGGCCCCCCUGAAGGCAGCUUGCUUUCAGCCUCACAGGGAGCCAGAGGAGGAUCUGGCUGCCGAGGAAGCAGACGGCCCCGGUGAGAACAAUGACAGAGGUGGUAGUCUACAGAUGGACAUCAGGGAAGUUGACCAAAGUAGCAGGGGCAGGGUGGAGCCCCUGGGUGCAGCUGCCGCCUCCACAUCACUGCAGAUGGACUGUGACUUUAACGAGUUGGCACAGGAGGAGAAGAUCGCUCAAAUGAGAGCCAAACUUAGACAGAGCGAAGCUGCUCUAAACCUGCUUUCUUAAAGUGACCUCACAUUUGUUAGCCUUUUUGUACUGAAUGUUUAGAAUAGACUUUUAUACAUUUGUCUUCUGUGAACACAUGCACAUUAAUAAAAGUGGUGUCGAUGGGCUUAUGUGUUUGGUGAUCCUUUUUGUUUUAUUUAGGCGUCCAAAAACAGAUGUUGUACUAAUGUGGUGUUCUCUUCUCAUUAGGUGCAGUUUAUAGCAAGGUCUUCAAUGUUUGGAUGUUUUUGAUGUGUUAGUUCAUUUCCUUUUGAUAAAACCUCAAACCAUAGCAGCGUAUGGUUUGAUUAUUUCAAGCUGUAGUUUGGUCCCAUUUACAAAGUGAACCAAAUAGUUCUUUGUUAAAAUACUUCUUUUUUCCAGAAUAUAUAAUGUGUUUUUCCUGGUUCAGUAACUAAGACUGUUUUUGUCUUUCUUUCUUAUUUUUUUUAUUUUUUUUUUUAAUCAAGCAUACCAAAUCACACUUUUGUUUUUGUUUAGUAUGAUAGUUUCCCUGAUCACCUUGAAACACCUCCACAGGUCAUGAGUUGGUCUUAUGUUUGUUGAAAGUGCUCCAAACCAUAAACAAUAAAUAUGACUAAUCUUUGUGCAUAUGUUUCAUAAUGAGACUUUUAAUACUAAGACCUGUAAAAAAUCAUUAUUAUUGCUGUUAUUAUUAUUAUUAUUAUUAUUGUUAUUAUUUGGUGACCUAGUGCUGAAAUGGUUGUGGUGUGACUGUUGUCCUUUCUACUCUGCUUUCUCACUCCUUAAAUUAUUUUUCAUAUGCAGGUCUUACACUCUGAGCCUGACAUUUCUUCUGUCAGUGUGGAACAAGAAAGUCAGGACUUUGAAUUGUGACAUAGUGACUGUGCUCACACUCACCUCUCUGCUUUGGUCCCUGAAUGAUUCAAAAUGUUUAGCAUGGACUCAUCUAGUGUUUAAGGUUUUCAUUUCUGUGUUUGAAAUUCAUUUCUAU
Astatotilapia calliptera (eastern happy) is the source of this 1680-nucleotide long non-coding RNA. Lineage: Eukaryota; Metazoa; Chordata; Actinopteri; Cichliformes; Cichlidae. The record is from Ensembl.